UACGUAGGUGGCAAGCGUUGUCCGGAUUUAUUGGGUUUAAAGGGUGCGUAGGCGGCCUUAUAAGUCAGUGCUGAAAUAUCCCGGCUUAACCGGGAGGGUGGCAUUGAUACUGUAGGGCUUGAGUAAAGUUGAGGUAGGCGGAAUUGACGGUGUAGCGGUGAAAUGCUUAGAUAUCGUCAAGAACACCGAUAGUGUAGACAGCUUACUAAGCUUUAACUGACGCUGAGGCACAAAAGUGUGGGGAUCAAACAGG
Molecule: ribosomal RNA, 253 nt
Filed under: uncultured bacterium
Lineage: Bacteria
Description: partial 16S ribosomal RNA
Rfam family: Bacterial small subunit ribosomal RNA
Source: RNAcentral